Molecule: long non-coding RNA, 957 nt
Organism: Populus trichocarpa (black cottonwood)
Lineage: Eukaryota; Viridiplantae; Streptophyta; Magnoliopsida; Malpighiales; Salicaceae
Exons: 2
Source: RefSeq, a predicted model, not a curated record
UUCCGCAGAUAUUUCUCAUUAACAGUGCAAUUUUUUUUUAAAAAAAAAUUCAAAUUAUAACGCUGCGAGGUUUUAGCCGGCAGAUAAGAAGGCAGCAUCUUUGUUGUCAUACAAUUAUCGGGCUUUGAUUCAUGUUAAAGUCAGCAUCUUUGUUGUCACACAAUUAUUGCACUUGAUUCGCGUGGAUGAUUAUACACAUUCUAAGGGAAUUAAAUAGAUAAGACUGAGACUAGUGUUAUUUACAAGGAGGAUAUUGGAGAAUUACCUUCCCUCUGUUUUCAAUGUUCUCUCUUUCUUUCUCCCUUCCUCCCUUUUCCUUUGUAUGAUUAUGGCAACCUCUCUUUGAUGCUGUGUUUGGAGAAAGAAAAUUAAUGAUGCCAUGGAAAUACUUUUCCGGACCCCUUUUGGUGAAAAGGAGGAAUACAACAUCCCAGAUUGCCAGUGUUGGUGCCGACAUUUGUCCUAUUGAAAGCCUUGAAUACGAGACAUGGUAAUGGCUCCAGUGCAGAUAUUACAAGGCUUUUGCAGCAUUUGCUGGUUGCAACAUAGUCUUGGCAACUGCUGCUGCAGCUCUAUGUGCUUUCAUUGCUCCAGCAGCAGCAGGCCCUGGUAUUCCUUAGGUGAAAGCCUAUCUUAAUGGCAAUGAUGCUCAUUCUAUAUCGGCUUCCAGAACCAGAUCUAUACCGCAUGUUACACAAGUAUAUAGACAUAGACGAUGGAGAAUGACCUAGCCCGUCACUCUUUGAUUGUGAGACCAAGCCCAUCCAAGUCCAUCAAAUUGUAUUUUAUUUGAGUUAUUUAUUUAGAUUUUCUUAUGUUUGACAAUAUUAUUUAGCGAAUUGAGUCUAGUAACUGGUUGUUUUUAAAGUUUAUUAUUUAUAUGUGAUUUUUAUAGAUAUUAUGUUCAGUUUUUUAUUAUUCGAUAAAAUGAUAAUAAAAUGACAGAUUAUUUGUCUA